GACGAACGCUGGCGGCGUGCUUAACACAUGCAAGUCGAACGAUGAAGCCGGAGCUUGCUCCGGUGGAUUAGUGGCGAACGGGUGAGUAACACGUGAGCAGUCUGCCCUUGACUCUGGGAUAACUGCGGGAAACUGUAGCUAAUACCGGAUACGACACCUUGGGGCAUCCCAGGGUGUGGAAAGAAUUUCGGUCGAGGAUGAGCUCGCGGCCUAUCAGCUAGUUGGUGAGGUAAUGGCUCACCAAGGCGACGACGGGUAGCCGGCCUGAGAGGGUGACCGGCCACACUGGAACUGAGACACGGUCCAGACUCCUACGGGAGGCAGCAGUGGGGAAUAUUGCACAAUGGGCGAAAGCCUGAUGCAGCAACGCCGCGUGAGGGAUGAAGGCCUUCGGGUUGUAAACCUCUUUUAGCAGGGAAGGAGCGAAAGUGACGGUACCUGCAGAAAAAGCACCGGCUAACUACGUGCCAGCAGCCGCGGUAA
RNAcentral lists this ribosomal RNA (483 nucleotides) under uncultured bacterium. Its description in RNAcentral is "partial 16S ribosomal RNA". It matches the Rfam family "Bacterial small subunit ribosomal RNA", at positions 28 to 523 of the family's 1533-position model. The record is from RNAcentral.